Fukomys damarensis (Damara mole-rat) is the source of this 283-nucleotide non-coding RNA. The record is from Rfam. Lineage: Eukaryota; Metazoa; Chordata; Mammalia; Rodentia; Bathyergidae.
GGAUGUGCGAGCAACUCCACUGACCACCAGGGUUGGUCCAGCGACCUCGGUGAAUAGGCAGUGCCCCCUUCCUCCCUUACGGCUCCAUGUGCAUACGAAGCUGGUGCGCUUGGUAGAAAAGGACAACCACUUCAGACAGAGGACCAUUUCCUCAGUCAAGGGUACACAAGUAGCUGCGCUCCCCUGCUAGAACCUCCAAACAAGCUCUCAAAAAGACAACUAUGGUUCCUAUGGGGACCUGCAAACAGGACAAUACAGGGCCAGCAAGGAUACCUCUGUCCCC